UCAUGUUCUGAGGCCGACCCAUUACCUUAUCACCAAAAUCGUGUACCUACUUUCUCCGCUGCUUUCCCUCCUCAUCCUCCAAAACCCUAAUGGUGAUUUUAACAAAAACCUUCCUCCGUUUCUAUUUAUACCAGCAAAUAAAUCUUGUGGCAGAUUAAACAACAGCUUGAUUAGAACUAUUUAUCAGAUCUUGAUUAUGUGAAUAAGACAAAUAGGUGAGUAUCCCUGACUUUCAGAUUGAAUACCAUAUUUAUUUGUUUGCUAAUUUAUUUAUUGUGUAUGUAUAUGGUUGGGAUUUUGAAUUUUUAAUCUUUAUUGAUGUUCCCUAUAUGUAUUCUGCAUUUUUUUUUUGUUUUGUAUAGAUAUUAUUCACUUUUUUUAUCUUAAACAAGUUCUUAGUUUUGUCUGAAUAAGACUUAAUAGCCGCCCUAAAAAACCAUAGCUUGGAUCGACAUGCUUGCAGGUUAGUUGCUUUUUGGUAGCUUCGUUUUGAAAUCCUUUAUUGAAAGUUGCAGGUCAAACAGUCCUUAUUUAAUCAAUUUGAAUGAAAGUUUCAUUGAUAGAAGAUUCUAUCAAUGAUCACUAUAAUGGAUCACGCACCGCUAACUUAAAUGUCUAUUACGUUUUUCUCUCUUGGUUCAUAAAAAAGGUCGAUGUUGGAUUCUGGCAUCUGAUCAUCCCAAUUGUUGCCUCUAAAAUGCAUUUGCAAAUUUUAAAUAAGUUCAAUGAAAAUAAAUUAUUUUGACUUGUGACUAAUAAAGAUGUUAGAAGCAUCAAACUUUAGAUUGAGAUAAUGACAAAGUUAUCCGGGCAUCCGAAUGUUGUUGAUCUCAAAGCAGUUUAUGAAUUUGGUUAUGGAGUUGUGUAUAGGCGGAGAACUUUUCCAUCAGUUAGAACAUCAGGGGAGGUUUUCUAUUAGCAACCAAAGCGUCCUCUUGGCAUAUAAAGUUGGCUGAUUUUGGUACUACUACUUACAUCAAGCGAGGUCAAGGUUACAUGGAAUUGUUGGGAGUCCGUUUUAUAUAGCUCCAGAGGUGCUUAUGGGCGGUUACAACCAGGCAGCCGAUGUUUGGAGUGCGGGUGUCAUUUUGUAAGAUGUUAGAUGAAGUGGUUAUUACUACGAGGCAUAUCAUAGAUAGAUAGAUCAUCCCAAUAGUUUGAAUCUUAAUGAAAUUUGAGUUAUUUUUUUAUAAUUUUCUGUAUUUUUUAACUAUCCAUUGGUGUACAAAGAAAUAUUACUGAAAUUUGAAUUAUUUUUUGAUUUUUUCUA
Long non-coding RNA from Helianthus annuus (common sunflower), 1270 nucleotides. RefSeq lists it as uncharacterized. The record is from RefSeq and is a predicted model, not a curated record. The transcript has 3 exons. NCBI's taxonomy places the organism in Eukaryota, Viridiplantae, Streptophyta, Magnoliopsida, Asterales, Asteraceae.